This 658-nucleotide unclassified non-coding RNA is filed under the name Hevea brasiliensis (rubber tree). The record is from RNAcentral. Lineage: Eukaryota; Viridiplantae; Streptophyta; Magnoliopsida; Malpighiales; Euphorbiaceae.
UUUCAUAGCAACCCUUUCCAUCCUUUUCAAGGAAGUACAUAAAGAAUUAGAAGAUAAAAGAAUUUGGUGAAUAAUGAAAGUUAGUGGUGGUCCUGUGAAUUGAAAAGAAAGCAACAAGUUGAUGAGAAUAAACAGUAGUUUUAAGGCCUCUAUCAAUCCACUUGUGUGAAAUAGAACAGGACUUGGUCUUUUAUUGAAGCCAGUGUCCAUGUUUUCAAUUGCCAAAAGUGUACCAAUUGUGUUGAUCUAAUUGGAGUCAUCAUAAUCUUACUUUUGGAAUCAUAUUUGGCCUGACAAGUUACAAUAAUCAUCAUUGUAGCAGCAUAACAAGACAAAAAAAAUCAGACUGGUUAAUGAAUCAAUCUAUGUAUUGACCUUGCAGAAUCAAGUUUAGCACCUGAAAAUAACAGUGCAGAAUCACUUGCUAUAAUUGGGCCGAGCCCAAAAAGUUAAGCCCAAACACUAAAGUGGGCUCAAACCAUACAGAAUAAAGAAAGAUAGCUUAGAAAACUGAAAGUAAACGCUCGUAUCAAGGAACAAUAAUCAUCGAGAUUAAGGAAGAUGAAGCCACAGGAUCUUUAGCAAAUUGUAAGGGUAUUCAUGUACUUUAUGAACAAAAAGGAAAAGGGAGGUACCCGAAAAUUAUGGCAAGAAUGAA